GAUGAAGAACGUAGCGAAAUGCGAUACGUAAUGUGAAUUGCAGAAUUCAGUGAAUCAUCGAAUCUUUGAACGCACAUUGCGCCCGCCAGUAUUCUGGCGGGCAUGCCUGUUCGAGCGUCAUUUCAACCAUCAAGCCCCAGGCUUGUGUUGGAGCCCUGCGGCCGCCCGCAGCCUCCUAAAACCAGUGGCGGGCUCGCUGUCACACCGAGCGUAGUAGCAUACAUCUCGCUCCGGGCGUGCUGCGGGUUCCGGCCGUUAAACCACCUUCAUAACCCAAGGUUGACCUCGGAUCAGGUAGGAAGACCCGCUGAACUUAAGCAUAUCAAUAAGCGGAGA
RNAcentral lists this unclassified non-coding RNA (336 nucleotides) under soil metagenome. RNAcentral's name for it is "partial contains 5.8S ribosomal RNA, internal transcribed spacer 2, and large subunit ribosomal RNA". The stretch from base 1 to 120 matches the Rfam family "5.8S ribosomal RNA", at positions 35 to 154 of the family's 154-position model. The record is from RNAcentral.